Long non-coding RNA from Tupaia belangeri chinensis (Chinese tree shrew), 4860 nucleotides. RefSeq lists it as uncharacterized. NCBI's taxonomy places the organism in Eukaryota, Metazoa, Chordata, Mammalia, Scandentia, Tupaiidae. The transcript has 2 exons. The record is from RefSeq and is a predicted model, not a curated record.
GCCCUAAGGCAAAAACAUCUAAAAAAUCAAAAUAAAUAAAAAUCAAAAAGGUAAAAUGAUACACUUCAACACCAAUAAAUUGGGACAGUAUUGAUCAGAGUUCAAAACACCUUGUGUUGCUUGGAAAAAGAGUAAAAAUGUUGAUUCACUUCAGUUUAUCUGCUGAAUAUACAAAUUAAAAUUCUUGCCAACCACUAAAAGAAGAGAAGAAUAUAUCAUUUCUAAGGCCCAGUACAUAUUACACGUAGGAAUCACAUCUAACACUACAGAACAGUUAAAGUAAAUGAAUGAAAAGGAUAGAGUUGGGAAACUAAGUUGUUCUGAGAGAGCAUGAACUUACUUUUUAUUUUUUCUUUUUGUAGGUUAAAGAAAAAGGAGUUUAGUUUAGAAGAAAUAUAUACCAACAAGAAUUACAAGUCUCCUCCUGCAAACAGGUGUUUAGAGACUAUCUUUGAGGAACCCAAGGAACGAAAUGGUACACUGAUCUCAGUCAGCCAACAGAAGCGGAAGCGAGUUCUAGAAUUCCAGGACUUCACAGUCCCACGAAAGAGAAGAGCUCGAGGGAAAGUCAAGGUGGCUGGCAGCUUCACCAGGGCCCAGAAAGCAGCUCUGCAGAGCCAGGAGCUGGAUGCUCUUCUGAUACAGAAACUAAUGGAACUGGAGACCUUCUUUGCCAAGGAAGAGGAACAAGAGCGGUCGUCAGGUUGUUGAGAAACCAUUCAAUUUGGGGGGUGGUCUCAAUGUUCGAUUUCUUCUUUUUUUUUUGGACCUCCUUAGAAGAGGUUGCCUAAUUUUGUCCUACUGCCCAAACCACUCAAAAUGCAGUCCAUGAAUUAUGACCUAUUUUAGGGUGCAACCUUUUUAGGAACUGGCGAAGGAGAGUCCUCUACUUCAACUGCUGAGUAUAGAACCUCAGGAAUGUUCCCUUUCUCCUGGAAAUGGUCCUCAGUGACAUCCGGCCACCUCCUCCCAGUCUCUGCCAUCCACAGGAGAAAGAAGCAGCAUAUCUUCAGUAACACUAGGAUUCCAAGGACUCACAGCAUUUGCACAGCAUCUGCAUGUCCAUAUGAAAGUUUUGCUUUGUUUACGGUGGUGCUAGACCAAGAUUAUUUAGAAACAAGGCCUAGGGAGGGGGACAUGGCAUCCUGUCCUGCGUGGUCUCACUGGCUCAUUUCGUUAGUUGAAGAAAGAUGAGCUAUUAUGUUUUCUCAUCGUUUUGCCUCUGUCCACUCAGAACCUAUCUGUGUGUGUGUGUGUGAGAGAGAGUGUGUGUGUGUGUGUGAGUGUGUGUGUGUGUGUAUGUGUGUGUGUGUGUGGCUUUUCCCUCUCUGUGACUGUGGGUCACUAGUGCCAGAGGAGCCCGUCCAGGCCCCAUUCAAAGUAAGUUGCACUUUUUAAUGUUGUGGUGUUACUUUCAUUAUUUUAUUUCCUCCUUUCUUCCCUUUUUUUUUCUUUUUUUUCUUUUUCGGUAUUAUUAUUGUUGCUGCAUGUUUGGAGCCUUUAAAUGUGAUUUUAAAACUAUUUUUAAAAGACAUUAAGAGGAAGACAAUAGAUGUCUUAAGAAUACAUGCUAGGCAUCAGACUCCGUUGAUCAGUGCAUGGAAGAGACGUUUUCCCACUCCUGUGUCUCAAGCAGUCUUUCCCCACUCCACCUUCUAGUGUAACUUACAGAGGGAGCAUUUUUUCCAUCUGGAUUCUCAUUCCUGCCCACUAGGUACACGUAUUUAUUUUAGUGACAUAAGUAGGAGCAGGUUUCUUUCCCCAUUAUUUAAAAAAUACUAAUGCUGGGUAUGGUCUUAGUGGUUUUAUCUGAAAUGGUGGUAUGUGACAGGGUUGGUGCAAGGCUGCGGCGGUGCGAGAAGCUGACCCAGAGUGUCCGCAGCUGUGAGAGCACUGCUCCAGGAGCAGGGAGUUAGGGCACUGGUUCAGACAUGGCCUACUUGUGGUGGAACCACAAAAUUCCAGAGAGCACCUCAUUGAAUUCGGGGCUUCUGGGUCAAACCUACUGGAAGUGUCAAAUGCCCGUGUUAGCUGAGUUUCUGGGUGUGUGCCUGCAGGAGUCUGGGCCAGUGUUCGCUGCUGAGCAGAGCCUGGAGGCCUCCUUCCCUCCCCACUGAGUCCCUACUUGCCCUCACCCGGCUCCCCUCCUCCCCUCCUCCUCUCUUGUGAUUUAUCUUUCUCCUAACAAGAGUUGAGAGAAUUAACAUUCCUUGGCUGGUGAGUGGGAUGGUAAAACUAGCCUCAGGAUACCGGUCACCUCUUCCCAUCUUCCCAGGAGCUCCUGCCACAAAGCAGCCACGGAUGGGAACAUUUGAAGCUCCCGGGACAUUUUCAAGUCAGAGUGGAGUGAGUGGUGCCAUCCUGGAACAUUGGCCCAUUCUCCUGGGUUUCUUGUCUCCCCAUUUGUUAGGUGGGGAGCUGGGAUGGGGUGGGUGGUCUCUAUGUGCCUUUCCUUUACAGGUUGACAGUCUAUGCCACACUGGAGCAGAAAAACUGACUUGAGCAGGAAAAAAAAAGUGCCACGUCUAUCUUCUAGGCCCGCUGCCUCAGAUGCAGCAUUUAGGGAAGUGAAAUACACACUCAGUCAUCCAUGGAGGCUUCUAAGGCCACGGCCAAGUAGGAUUAGAAGAGAACCACGUUUCCAUGCUGGCUGUGCGUGAUGCUAACCAGAUUCUGCCGUCUACAUCCACUUUGCCCAGACUGUAUAGACACGACCUAUUCUUCACCUCAAUCCCUCUCCCUUCCUGGGACAGGGUUCUUAGACACUAAAUGCUUCUCUCUACCUUUUGUUUAAAGGAAUGGGGUGAGUAAUACAUUGUGCCCUUAUGCAGACAUACUUGGGGAGCUCCUGCUGGGCAGCUCACGAACUAGCAGUGAGUGGACAGCGGCCGUUUGCCAGCCCCACAGCUGGUACAGACGAGUCGGCACGUGGCAGCCCUGUCAGGCGAAAGUUGAGGUGGUGUCGCCAACCUGACAGAGGUACGGCUUCAGGUUUGUUCAUCCUAGGCGUGGCACUGGGAAGGGCCAGGCAAAGCAGUUUGAAACAUUGGCAUCUGGGCACAAAGGAUUGGAGGAAAGAGACCUGGGCUUCUCCGUUCUCCUGGGAAGAUUGGAGAGAAGCUGCUCUGAGGCCAGCCAGGCCUCUCUUUGACACUCUCAGCCUACCCUCUGCCGAGGGCCCUGCCCUACUCCAAGUUAUGAAGAGGCCCCCACCACAAACUUGAAACUUCCUACUGGAGUUGAUACAUCCGGCUCUAGUCGUACCCAGCCACACCUGUCUUAACAUCCAGUUUCGCCACUGACACAGCACUGUCAGUGGUUCUCGGAGCCUGUGGUCCCCGGCCAUGAUGGGGACAUUAGCCGCUGGCACGCCACCUGCCCAGAGCGACAGGAGGUCUGGUUCUGGGGUGGAACUUGGUACAACUUCUCAGUAUAGGGAUUUCCCACUCAAAUGGUGGGAAGUUAUAGUUCACUAUGACUUAAUUAACUCACCUCGGGAAGUCUAGUGGUUUUAGUAUGGGAAAGAGAGGAGAAAUCUCAGGUCCAACCAGGGUUUUGCCCAUCAGCUUUUCACCGAAACCUUCAAGUCUGCUUCUCAUCUUUCUGCUUUUCUAGCUCUAUGUGCAGCCCCCCCUCCCCCAGCUGCACACACUCUCCUCGUCCGUCUCUCUCUCUCUUUUCCCUUUGAUCUUCUUUCCAGCUUCAUUUCUCCUUCAGUUUGAACGUACCUCAUCACCUGGAAAAGCAGAUUAUGCCCACUUUUUCUUACUGACCUUACUCUAAGAGCUACAGCUGAGAGAGAUACAGUGAAAAGAUAUGUAGCGUUUGCCUUACUCGGAGCCUAAAGAGCUCGGAAACUCAUGCUGUGAACCCCCCAAUUCGGCGCUCCUCCAUGAGCUGUGAAAAUCAUGACACUCUGUUCUGAUUUUGCCUGAAAGAGCCUUUUGUGUGGGUACCUGAGCCAACGUGGGGUGGAUUCCCGAUCGCACUCUUUGGGUAUGGUCCUUUCUCCCCCUCUCCCCCUCCCGGGGCUCUUUCUCUGCCCACCAGGCCAAGAGCGGCAGGGAGCAUGCAGGACCAUGGCAGCAGAUCCCUGGCAGCCGUGCAGCUAAUGAAACCCGCCCCAGGCUGGGGUUCCAUCUCAUAAUCAAUACCAUGUAUGUAAAGGUCUGUGGAAGAACAACUUCUAGGCAGAUGUACUUUUCUCCCAUUACCUGAGCGUUGGGGGUGGUGCGAAGUUGGUGCUUUCUCUCAUUCCCUUGUUUUGUUUUGUUUCCAUUAACUGUUUCCCUGACAUCAUGGAAAGGACCUCUUAACCACGUUGUGGGUGUCUGUAUCCAAAGCAUAAGUAUUUGGCCAGAGAUGAGGAGUAUCCUCUCCUGGAUUCCUGGAAGGAAGGUGCUCCUUACCAGAACUGAACUUAGAUAAAAAGCCGGCCAGGGAGAGCAACUUGACUAAAAUCAUGGUUUAAUAUCACUAGCCACAAAGGGAGCAGCCAAAGCUAUUGUGAUUGGGAAGCUGGGCGGCGGGGAGACCUCAUCUCAGCCGCCACCUUGCACAGCGAACUCUCAGACAUGAUGCCUGUUCAUCGUGUGCCCCCAGGCUCCUCUCUGGUGCUGAAUUGGAUUUGCAUUCUAGGUGAGGGGCCUCAGCUUCUCCUUGGGGUGGUCUGGGCCAGUAAAUAGCUGCCUGAAGUGUUUAUAAAUGAUCAUGGUCAAUAGUUCAGUGAAAUUUGUACAUUUUUGGUAAUGUUGGCAUACACGAUGCCCCUACAGUUUCUUUUCUGUUUGGUAGUUUGUGACUCUAAAAUUCCCACUGUUCUGUGUGUUAAUUUAUGAAAAUAAAUUUUUUUUUUGAAAA